CCAAUCGAACUCGGAGAUAGCUGGUUCUCCCCGAAAUAGCUUUAGGGCUAGCCUCGAUUUAGAUUACCGGGGGUAGAGCACUGAAUGGGCUAGGGGGCCACAAAGCUUACCGAACCCUAUCAAACUUCGAAUACCGGAUAAUUGAUGAUCGGGAGUCAGACAGUGUGAGAUAAGUUUCAUUGUCGAAAGGGAAACAGCCCAGAUCUACGACUAAGGUCCCAAAGUUCAAGUUAAGUGGAAAAGGAUGUGCAAUUGCGUAGACAACCAGGAUGUUGGCUUAGUAGCAGCCAUUCAUUCAAAGAGUGCGUAAUAGCUCACUGGUCGAGUGAUUGUGCGCCGAAAAUGUAACGGGGCUAAACUUGACACCGAAGUCUAGGCAGAAGGAAACUUCUGGGUAGGGGAGCAACGUGUACGGGCAGAAGCAGAAGCGGAAGCGACUGUGGACUGUACAGGAGAGAGAAUGCCGGCAUGAGUAGCGAGAGCAAAGUGAGAAUCUUUGCCGUCGAAAGCCUAAGGUUUCCUGAGGAAGGCUCGUCCUCUCAGGGUAAGUCGGGACCUAAGCCGAGGACAAUAGUCGUAGGCGAUGGACAAUCGGUUAAUAUUCCGAUACCGCCGAGCAACCGGAUGCAGUGACACAGAAGGAUAGGCAGAGCGUGGCGAUGGUAGACCACGUCCAAGCAGUGAGGCUGUUGUGUAGUGAAGUACGCACAACGUAAGGCUGGGCUGUGAUGGGGAACGAUUACGAUCGGUAAGCUGCUGAAUUCACGCUGGCGAGAAAAGCUGCUACGAAGCGAAGGCGCCCGUACCGCAAACCGACACAGGUAGGCGAGGAGAGAAUCCUAAGACGAGCGGGAGAACCCUUGUUAAGGAACUCGGCAAAAUGACUCCGUAACUUAGGGAGAAGGAGUGCCCAGGAAUGGGCCGCAGAGAAUAGACCCAAGCGACUGUUUACCAAAAACACAGGUCUGUGCGAAGUAGAGAUACGACGUAUACGGGCUGACACCUGCCCAGUGCCGGAAGGUUAAGGGGAAAUGUUAGGGCAACCGAAGCAUGGAACUUAAGCCCCGGUGAACGGCGGCCGUAACUAUAACGGUCCUAAGGUAGCGAAAUUCCUUGUCGGGUAAGUUCCGACCCGCACGAAUGGUGUAACGAUUUGGGUACUGUCUCAACAAGGGACCCGGCGAAAUUGUAGUAUGUGUGAAGAUGCACAUUACCCGCGAUAGGACGGAGAGACCCCGUAGAGCUUUACUGUAGUUUAACAUUGGAUUCCGGUAACAUAUGCACAGGAUAGGUGGGAGGCGGAGAAGCAGUGAUUUCGGUUGCUGCAGAGCCGACGUUGGGAUACCACUCUUGUGUUACUGGGGUUCUAACCUGUGGCCGUGAUCCGGCACAGGAACAGUGUUAGAUGGGCAGUUUGACUGGGGCGGUCGCCUCCAAAAGAGUAACGGAGGCGUCCAAAGGUUCCCUCAGAAUGGUUGGAAACCAUUCGAAGAGUACAAAGGCAGAAGGGAGCCUGACUGCGAGACCGACAGGUCGAGCAGGGACGAAAGUCGGGCUUAGUGAUCCGGCGGUAUAGAGUGGAAUUGCCGUCGCUCAACGGAUAAAAGCUACCUCGGGGAUAACAGGCUUAUCUCCCCCAAGAGUCCACAUCGACGGGGAGGUUUGGCACCUCGAUGUCGGCUCGUCGCAUCCUGGGGCUGAAGCAGGUCCCAAGGGUUUGGCUGUUCGCCAAUUAAAGCGGCACGCGAGCUGGGUUCAGAACGUCGUGAGACAGUUCGGUCCCUAUCCAUCGUGGGCGCAGGAGAUUUGAGAAGAGCUGUCCUCAGUACGAGAGGACCGGGAUGGACGCACCAAGGGUGUAUCAGUUGUCACGCCAGUGGCACAGCUGGGUAGCCAAGUGCGGAUCGGAUAAACGCUGAAGGCAUCUAAGCGUGAAGCCGACUUCAAGAUAAGAUCUCCCAUCCGCAAGGAGUAAGGCCCCAUGUAGACCACAUGGUUGAUAGGUCGCAGGUGGAAGUGCAGUAAUGUACGCAGCUGAGCGAUACUAAUAGGCCGAGGGCUUGAUCA
This 2067-nucleotide ribosomal RNA is filed under the name human gut metagenome. RNAcentral's name for it is "bacterial LSU rRNA". It matches the Rfam family "Bacterial large subunit ribosomal RNA", at positions 829 to 2925 of the family's 2925-position model. The record is from RNAcentral.